AUUAACUACACAAGGUGCCAGUUACUCUAGCAUUCGUCAACAUUGCAUAAUCAAUGGGCCUAGUAUGCCUUUAAGAUGAGUAGUGCAUAGUUAAUAAGUGCACACCACAGACAUGCCAUGUACAUUUUCCAAAUGGCAAGUAAAAUGGAUGUUGAAAUCUCAGUUGGUAUGACUAUCAACAGACUUUAUACCAUGCCAUGCCAAGUAAUGCAGAUAAGGUCAGGGGGACAUAGACCCUACGAGCCCAAGUAAUCAUGGCUGGUAAAUAGCUGUAUGAAGUAAAUGAUUUAUGGAGUGUAUGAGUUUCUAAUAAGUCUGACAGCCAAAUAUAAUGCCUUUUAUCGUUUGGAAAGGCAUAACGCUUUCUAGUAUCCCACAAAAUAUAUAUCCCCUUCAGCAUGUUAUUAUAGCAUGACAUUUUGUUUUCAAAACGCUUGGUAAUUUUUAUACUAAUAUAAAGUAAAAUUUGCAUCUAUGAA
Molecule: long non-coding RNA, 479 nt
Organism: Priapulus caudatus
Lineage: Eukaryota; Metazoa; Priapulida; Priapulimorpha; Priapulimorphida; Priapulidae
Exons: 2
Source: RefSeq, a predicted model, not a curated record